Lates calcarifer (barramundi perch) is the source of this 1296-nucleotide long non-coding RNA. RefSeq lists it as uncharacterized. The transcript is spliced from 3 exons. NCBI's taxonomy places the organism in Eukaryota, Metazoa, Chordata, Actinopteri, Centropomidae. The record is from RefSeq and is a predicted model, not a curated record.
GGGAAGCCCUUUCUGCAGAUCCUGAUGCCUUCGAGCACCCCAUUACAACGCAGCUGGUGCAUCACCAGAGGAUUCUCCAUGGCCCCAGGAGUCUUGGUCUCAUUGGGGAUGAUGCAGCGUACAAAGUGAGGAUAUGUAAAACCAUUGAAGGACACAGACAUAUGAGAUCAAGGUCAGCAUUCAGUGGUAGACAAAUGUCAAACUGAUAUCCACUCUUCACUUGGCUCCUUCCUGCCUUCCUCCUGUGUAUCAGUCCUUCUUUUGUGCUGCUGCAGCUGCAUGAGCCUACUUUGGAGACAAAGGGGACUACAGCACAGGAGAUCCCAAAGCUCUUAGGUGGCCGUCUGUGAGUUUCACUCCUCAUCUAGCCCUUUCUGUGAUGAAGAAUGAUAGAGAGCAGAAAAAGAAACAGAUUAGAGACAGAAGACCAACAAGACUCAACAGGUGUUACAAGAGAAACUGGAUUUUACAAGAUGUUACACGAUGUUACAAGUGAAUGUUUUUUUUAAUGUCAGUAUGUCUUCACUGUAGUAAAUUUGGUUGUGUCUAAUUGUUUUUGAAAGAAUUUGAAAAGUGAUGUAUCACUGAAUGCAUUUGGAGGAAAGUUAAGAUCAUAUAUAUUUUAUAUAUCAAAUAUUAAAAAUCAUAUUAAAACUGAAGAGCCAAGCCCAUCUUUAGUGAAUCUCAAACCAUUGUUUUUGUUUAUGUUUUUGCUUUUGUUUUGUGUUUUCUUUAUUUGACACAAGUAAUUCCAAGCCUGGAUUCUGUUGAAAUCAUUUAAUCUUUUUUAAGACAUUUCUCAGUAGGAGCUGUUCAAAAAGGGAACAUAUCUUAACAAAAACUCGAUCAAUUAAAGCAUUUUUGGUGUCUUUAUUAGAACUAGUUUACAUUGAUUUGACUGGUUGUCAGGGUUUAAUGCUGUUAUGUCAUUCACAAAAUGCCUCAGAUGAAGAUAUAGUUUAAGGAAAAAUUCAUGUAGGGGUGCAUCGGUGUCCUAGAGGUGAAGCACUAACCACGAGCCAUCCCUGCUUUGAGUCUUAAUGGUGACCUUUUAGUGCAUGGCAUUCAUUUCCCUCAUUUUCUGUCAUAUCUAUCUGUGUAGGUUCUCAGUCAUCCAGAUCAUGGUAGUCUUAAGUGCUAAAGUUGAAGCCAACUGUUUCUUCAAGAAACCUAAAAGAAACUUCAUCAUAGAACCUUCCCUGUGACAAAGAUCAUAUUACCACUAACCUAAAUUAUACUUUUACAAUUUAUCAAAUCCAGGAAAACACCCAAAAUAAAAGUCAUAAAUCUGUACAA